GGGCAAAGAGCAUCUGUUCCCUCCAUUCUCCUAGCUCCAUCGGCUGCCAACCUAAGGCCAUCGCCUGCCUCCAUCACCCCUUCGCCUGCCUGCCUACCACCCAAUCCCAAAUGGGUGCUGGAUCAGGUCCUCCUUCUCAUCCCUUCUUAGGCAUGGAGAGAUGAAGGACAGAUGGAGAGAUGAAGGACAGAUGGAGUACCGCACAAGGAUACAAUGGAGGGAGUAGGCCAUGGCUAAGACCCCCAAGGAUGAAGAAUGGAGAGCCCUGACUGUCCUCCUGGCCUCCAGUCAUUUCCCCACUGAAGAUGGCCGUACCCUCUAACCUGGGAGGACCAUGGCCCAACAAUGGCAGUGGGAGAGAAGAUGACUCUGUAAAGGACACUCUCCGUUAUCUGUGAUGACAUACACCAGCCCCCCGAACAAUUUAACCUCAAGCUGCCCUCUGCAAGACUUCGGUAGCACUGGACUUCCCUCAUUCCUGGUAGGCAGAGGUUGUUAGCCAUCAGUCUGGAAGAUCUGAAGGAAAAUUUGGCUUUGGGUAAAGUCAAAGGGGAUGGCUCUCAGAGAUAAGGCCAGUUCAUGAGAAGUAAGCAGGGCUUUGCUACCUGCGCUGGGCAGAGCUGCCCUGGGCUGGGGGAGUUCUGACAUCAGCAUCUCUGGAGGCGGAUGGCAACUUCAGAAGAAGCACAGUUUCCCCAGGAGAAAAGAAAACAGGAGGUCUUCAGUCAGCAUGGAGUUUGAAGCCGCCCAUGGCUGAAGCUCAGAAUACUCUGGAGAGCUGAGAGUCCUUCUUCAGCGGCCGGGCCGUUCUGCAGCAGCUGCAGCCGCCUCUGGGCCUGGGCGUCGCGGUGGGCAGGCGUGCGUAGGUGUUGCAGCAAGGCUAGGCGGGAGGGCGUGUCCCAGGCGCACAACAGGCAGUGGUAAAGCCCCGGCUCCGGCCCUGCCUCUGCUCCCUCCAUUUCCAGCAGAAACUAGAAGCAUGGAAGAGGCCAGCUCAGAUGUAGAAGGCACAACUCCAGACCUCUGGGGACUGUUCCUCCUCGAUUAGACUCUUUCAUGCCUGGGUGGCCUCCCUCCACCCUGCUAUGGCUUCCCAUCCGCUUCUCCUCUCCAUUUCCUUCUUUCUCCCAUCAGUCCUGGGUCCCCCAGUGUGUGGCCGGGAGCUGCUUCUGUCCUGGAUACCAUGAUGGCUGGACUGAGAUGGCCUCCUCCCUAUAGCAUGUGUGCUAGAACAGCUAAAUCAAGUCUGUUUCUCCUCCUCGGGGCCCACUGC
RNAcentral lists this long non-coding RNA (1273 nucleotides) under Mus caroli (Ryukyu mouse). RNAcentral describes it as "lncRNA (MGP_CAROLIEiJ_G0002881.1)". Lineage: Eukaryota; Metazoa; Chordata; Mammalia; Rodentia; Muridae. The record is from RNAcentral.